GGGCGGGCCGAGCCCGGAGGCCAGAUGAGCGGACACAGCCCCACGCACGGGGCCAUGCAGGUGGCCAUGAACGGUAAGGCCCGCCAAGAGGCGGUGCAGACUGCGGCUAAGGAACUCCUGAAGUUCGUGAACCAGAGUCCCUCUCCUUUCCACGCUGUGGCUGAAUGCCGCAACCGCCUUCUCCAGGCUGGCUUCAGUGAACUCAAGGAGACUGAGAAAUGGAAUAUUAAGCCUGAGAGCAAGUACUUCAUGACCAGGAACUCCUCCACCAUCAUAGCUUUUGCUGUAGGGGGCCAGUACGUUCCUGGCAAUGGCUUCAGCCUCAUCGGGGCCCACACGGACAGCCCCUGCCUCAGGGUGAAACGUCGGUCUCGCCGCAGCCAGGUGGGCUUCCAGCAAGUCGGUGUGGAGACCUAUGGUGGUGGGAUCUGGAGCACCUGGUUUGACCGUGACCUGACUCUGGCUGGACGUGUCAUUGUCAAGGUGGGAACCGAGGUUGGGGAUGGCGGAGCCUCCUCAGAAGACUGACUGCCACACUCCUCAGGGUACCCGUGGGGAAGAGGGG
Molecule: small RNA, 565 nt
Filed under: Pongo abelii (Sumatran orangutan)
Lineage: Eukaryota; Metazoa; Chordata; Mammalia; Primates; Hominidae
Description: retained intron
Source: RNAcentral